Molecule: ribosomal RNA, 397 nt
Filed under: uncultured bacterium
Lineage: Bacteria
Description: bacterial SSU rRNA
Rfam family: Bacterial small subunit ribosomal RNA
Source: RNAcentral
GGAAUCUUGGACAAUGGGGGCAACCCUGAUCCAGCCAUGCCGCGUGAGCGAUGAAGGCCUUAGGGUUGUAAAGCUCUUUCAGCGGGGAAGAUAAUGACGGUACCCGCAGAAGAAGCCCCGGCUAACUUCGUGCCAGCAGCCGCGGUAAUACGAAGGGGGCUAGCGUUGUUCGGAAUCACUGGGCGUAAAGCGCACGUAGGCGGACUUUCAAGUCAGGGGUGAAAUCCCGGGGCUCAACCUCGGAACUGCCUUUGAUACUGUUGGUCUCUAGUCCGAUAGAGGUGGGUGGAAUUCCUAGUGUAGAGGUGAAAUUCGUAGAUAUUAGGAAGAACACCGGUGGCGAAGGCGGCCCACUGGAUCGGUACUGACGCUGAGGUGCGAAAGCGUGGGGAGCAAA